UUUCCGUAGGUGAACCUGCGGAAGGAUCAUUCAUAAUAAAGUGUUUUAUGGCACUUUUUAAAAAUCCAUAUCCACCUUGUGUGCAAUGUUAGAUCUCGUCAAUCUUGGCGAGAUUUUUAUACAUCAACUCAUUCUUUAACUAAUUUGUCUGAAAAAUAUUAUGAAUACUUAAUUCAAAGUACAACUUUCAACAACGGAUCUCUUGGCUCUC
Molecule: unclassified non-coding RNA, 211 nt
Filed under: plant metagenome
Description: partial contains small subunit ribosomal RNA, internal transcribed spacer 1, and 5.8S ribosomal RNA
Source: RNAcentral